UAGUCCACGCUGUAAACGAUGAGUGCAAGGUGUUGGGGGUCAAACCUCGGUGCCGCCGUUAACACAGUAAGCACUCCGCCUGGGGAGUACGUACGCAAGUAUGAAACUCAAAGGAAUUGACGGGGACCCGCACAAGUAGCGGAGCAUGUGGUUUAAUUCGAAGCAACGCGAAGAACCUUACCAGGGCUUGACAUGUAGGUGAAGCGGCGGAAACGUCGUUGCCGAAAGGAGCCUACAC
RNAcentral lists this ribosomal RNA (238 nucleotides) under uncultured bacterium. RNAcentral describes it as "partial 16S ribosomal RNA". It matches the Rfam family "Bacterial small subunit ribosomal RNA", at positions 791 to 1035 of the family's 1533-position model. The record is from RNAcentral.